AAUAAUGUGUGACCUUCUUGGGUUUGGCCCAAGGUAUUCUCUUUUUUGUACCCUAUUCAUGCUAAAGGGGCAUCCUCGAGAAAGGAGCUAAUGGUACUUCAUUUCUCGAGGUGGCUGCCAAUUCAUCAUGGGGUUGCCCUCUUUAGUUUAUAUAUGGAAAAAGAGAUUCUUUUUAUUUUUACUAAUCAUCCUUAGGGCUUCAGCUACAUUUUGGUGUGAGCCCAGGUUAGCUCUAAAUAAGAAUCCUCGUAUCAACCCCAAGG
This 263-nucleotide long non-coding RNA is filed under the name Elaeis guineensis (African oil palm). Its description in RNAcentral is "long non-coding RNA (EGUI_LNC063887)". Lineage: Eukaryota; Viridiplantae; Streptophyta; Magnoliopsida; Arecales; Arecaceae. The record is from RNAcentral.